CCUACGGGUGGCAGCAGUGGGGAAUAUUGGACAAUGGGCGAAAGCCUGAUCCAGCCAUGCCGCGUGUGUGAAGAAGGCCUUCGGGUUGUAAAGCACUUUCAGUGGGGAAGAAAGCCUUGGGGCUAAUACCCUCGAGGAAGGACAUCACCCACAGAAGAAGCACCGGCUAACUCCGGGCCAGCAGCCGCGGUAAUACGGAGGGUGCGAGCGUUAAUCGGAAUUACUGGGCGUAAAGCGCGCGUAGGCGGUCUGAUAAGCCGGUUGUGAAAGCCCCGGGCUCAACCUGGGAACGGCAUCCGGAACUGUCAGGCUAGAGUGCAGGAGAGGAAGGUAGAAUUCCCGGUGUAGCAGUGAAAUGCGUAGAGAUCGGGAGGAAUACCAGUGGCGAAGGCGGCCUUCUGGACUGACACUGACGCUGAGGUGCGAAAGCGUGGGUAGCAAACAGGAUUAGAUACCCGUGUAGUC
This 465-nucleotide ribosomal RNA is filed under the name Vreelandella stevensii. RNAcentral describes it as "partial 16S ribosomal RNA". It matches the Rfam family "Bacterial small subunit ribosomal RNA", at positions 338 to 795 of the family's 1533-position model. Lineage: Bacteria; Pseudomonadati; Pseudomonadota; Gammaproteobacteria; Oceanospirillales; Halomonadaceae. The record is from RNAcentral.